GACGCGCCAUAUUUUAAAUCUAUUGACCUAAAGAUAGAUAAUCCUAAAAAGUUGUCCAUAAUCUUAACUUUAACAUUUACUAACUUUGAUUAUUACUAACCUUUGUUAUUGUUAUUAUCAUUGUUAUUAUCCAUUGUCAUUUACUUAUCAUGUCAUUUACAUUUAAGUCAUCAUUAUCAUCAUCAUUGUACAAAUUCAUCAUACACAUCUCACUAUUGUCAUCAUUCAAAACCAACUAAAACAUGAU
This 247-nucleotide long non-coding RNA is filed under the name Lathyrus oleraceus (garden pea). Its description in RNAcentral is "Pisum sativum (pea) long non-coding RNA (PSAT_LNC016360)". The record is from RNAcentral. Lineage: Eukaryota; Viridiplantae; Streptophyta; Magnoliopsida; Fabales; Fabaceae.